UGCAACAAAGUAAACAUUUAAUAUUUAAAAAAUUUCAACCGUUACUAAUACAAGGACUAAAUGACAUUUUUUAAAUGAUAUUUGUCAAUUCUGUCGAAAUUUGGUCUUAUUUAAUUCUUUUUAAUAAUACAGGAACUAAUUUGAUUUAUUUAAUAGUAGAGGAACUAAUUUGAUCUUAUAUAAACAGAACAGCCAGGUACAUUCACCCUUUAUAAUUGCUAUAUCCAAUGGUUUUGAAUUGCUUCAACAAGUUUGCUCAAAAUACUCACCAAAAAUAUAACUAGGUGCUUAUGUUCCCGUCCUUGGAAACAAAUCAUCCUAACAAGAGCUCAAUCUUACUUAAACAUUGUGCUAAGAAAAUACUGAAAAACAGACAGACACAUACCUGGAUUAACACCUCAACAAUCCAGGACACCAGGGAACAUAUAUAGCCAAUGAAAUCUGCAUUAUCUGUAGUAAUAUACAAUGUCACUUUGAUCUAUUUCUUAUUUUCCUAAUCAAGUAAUUCUCCAAUCCAAUGCCUGCCUCUACUUAUUUAAUUCUUUUUAAUAAUACUGGAACUAAUUUGAUUCAUUUAAUAGUAGAGGAACUAAUUUGAUCUUAUAUAAACAGAACUGCCAGGUACAUUCACCCUUUAUAAUUGCUAUAUCCAAUGGUUUUGAAUUGCUUCAACAAGUUUGCUCAAAAUACUAACCAAAAAUAUAACUAG
This 709-nucleotide long non-coding RNA is filed under the name Gossypium barbadense (sea-island cotton). Its description in RNAcentral is "long non-coding RNA (GBAR_LNC021808)". The record is from RNAcentral. Lineage: Eukaryota; Viridiplantae; Streptophyta; Magnoliopsida; Malvales; Malvaceae.